Molecule: ribosomal RNA, 593 nt
Filed under: Bacillus sp. CH382a_12D
Lineage: Bacteria; Bacillati; Bacillota; Bacilli; Caryophanales; Bacillaceae
Description: bacterial SSU rRNA
Rfam family: Bacterial small subunit ribosomal RNA
Source: RNAcentral
GCAGUCGAGCGGAUUGAUGGGAGCUUGCUCCCAUCAGUCAGCGGCGGACGGGUGAGUAACACGUGGGUAACCUGCCUGUAAGACUGGGAUAACUCCGGGAAACCGGGGCUAAUACCGGAUAACUCAUUUCCUCGCAUGAGGAAAUGUUGAAAGGUGGCUUUUAGCUAUCACUUACAGAUGGACCCGCGGCGCAUUAGCUAGUUGGUGAGGUAACGGCUCACCAAGGCGACGAUGCGUAGCCGACCUGAGAGGGUGAUCGGCCACACUGGGACUGAGACACGGCCCAGACUCCUACGGGAGGCAGCAGUAGGGAAUCUUCCGCAAUGGACGAAAGUCUGACGGAGCAACGCCGCGUGAGUGAUGAAGGUUUUCGGAUCGUAAAACUCUGUUGUUAGGGAAGAACAAGUACCGUUCGAAUAGGGCGGUACCUUGACGGUACCUAACCAGAAAGCCACGGCUAACUACGUGCCAGCAGCCGCGGUAAUACGUAGGUGGCAAGCGUUGUCCGGAAUUAUUGGGCGUAAAGCGCGCGCAGGUGGUUUCUUAAGUCUGAUGUGAAAGCCCACGGCUCAACCGUGGAGGGUCAUUGGAAA